CCUACGGGAGGCAGCAGUCGAGAAUCAUGCACAAUGGGGGAAACCCUGAUGGGGCGACGCCGCGUGGGGGAAUGAAGGUCUCCGGAUUGUAAACCCCAGUCAUGUGGGAGCAAAUGAAAAAGAUAGUACCACAAGAGGAAGAGACGGCCAACUCUGUGCCAGCAGCCGCGGUAAUACAGAGGUCUCAAGCGUUGUUCGGUAUGACUGGGCGUAAAGCGUGCGUAGGCUGUGUCGUAAGUCGAGUGUGAAAGGCGCGGGCUCAACCCGCGGACGGCACAUGACACUGGGAGACUAGAGUAAAGGAGGGGGAACCGGAAUUCUCGGUGUAGCGGUGAAAUGCGUAGAUAUCGGGAGGAACACUCGUGGCGAAGGCGGGUUCCUGGACAUUAACUGACGCUGAGGCACGAAAGCCAGGGGAGCGAAAAGGAUUAGAUACCCGAGUAGUC
Molecule: ribosomal RNA, 446 nt
Filed under: uncultured bacterium
Lineage: Bacteria
Description: partial 16S ribosomal RNA
Rfam family: Bacterial small subunit ribosomal RNA
Source: RNAcentral